RNAcentral lists this transfer RNA (83 nucleotides) under Canis lupus familiaris (dog). It matches the Rfam family "tRNA". Rfam says of the family: Transfer RNA (tRNA) molecules are approximately 80 nucleotides in length. Their secondary structure includes four short double-helical elements and three loops (D, anti-codon, and T loops). Further hydrogen bonds mediate the characteristic L-shaped molecular structure. tRNAs have two regions of fundamental functional importance: the anti-codon, which is responsible for specific mRNA codon recognition, and the 3' end, to which the tRNAs corresponding amino acid is attached (by aminoacyl-tRNA synthetases). tRNAs cope with the degeneracy of the genetic code in two manners: having more than one tRNA (with a specific anti-codon) for a particular amino acid; and 'wobble' base-pairing, i.e. permitting non-standard base-pairing at the 3rd anti-codon position. The record is from Rfam by way of RNAcentral. RNAcentral also lists the same sequence under 1 other name. Lineage: Eukaryota; Metazoa; Chordata; Mammalia; Carnivora; Canidae.
GCCUGGGUGGCUCAGUGGUUGAGCAUCUGUCUGUGGCUCAGGGCAUGACCCUGGGGUCCUGGGAUCGAGUCCCACAUCAGGCU